This 74-nucleotide transfer RNA is filed under the name Thermoleophilaceae bacterium. RNAcentral's name for it is "tRNA-Thr". It matches the Rfam family "tRNA". Rfam says of the family: Transfer RNA (tRNA) molecules are approximately 80 nucleotides in length. Their secondary structure includes four short double-helical elements and three loops (D, anti-codon, and T loops). Lineage: Bacteria; Bacillati; Actinomycetota; Thermoleophilia; Thermoleophilales; Thermoleophilaceae. The record is from RNAcentral. RNAcentral also lists the same sequence under 1 other name.
GCCGACGUAGCUCAGUUGGCCAGAGCACCGCUCUCGUAAAGCGGGGGUCGGGGGUUCGAAUCCCCCCGUCGGCU